RNAcentral lists this ribosomal RNA (460 nucleotides) under uncultured bacterium. Its description in RNAcentral is "partial 16S ribosomal RNA". It matches the Rfam family "Bacterial small subunit ribosomal RNA", at positions 338 to 795 of the family's 1533-position model. The record is from RNAcentral.
CCUACGGGUGGCUGCAGUGAGGAAUCUUGGUCAAUGGGCGCGAGCCUGAACCAGCCAAGUAGCGUGAAGGAUGACUGCCCUACGGGUUGUCAACUUCUUUUAUAAAGGAAUAAAGUGAGGCACGUGUGCCUCUUUGUAUGUACUUUAUGAAUAAGGACCGGCUAACUCCGUGCCAGCAGCCGUGGUAAUACGGAGGAUCCGUGCGUUAUCCGGAUUUAUUGGGUUUAAAGGGAGCGUAGAUGGGUUGUUAAGUCGGUUGUGAAAGUUUGCGGCUCAACCGUAAAAUUGCAAGUGAUACUGGCAGUCUUGAGUACAGUUGAGGUAGGCGGAAUUCGUGGUGUAGCGGUGAAAUGCUUAGAUAUCACGAAGAACACCGAUUGCGAAGGCAGCUUACUGAACUGCAACUGACGUUGAUGCUCGAAAGUGUGGGUAUCGAACAGGAUUAGAUACCCGUGUAGUC